ACCACUGACGAGUCCCAAAUAGGACGAAAUGCACAUCCUGGAU
RNAcentral lists this non-coding RNA (43 nucleotides) under Trichobilharzia regenti. The record is from RNAcentral. Lineage: Eukaryota; Metazoa; Platyhelminthes; Trematoda; Strigeidida; Schistosomatidae.